GUGAAUCAUCAAAUUUUUGAACGCAUAUUGCACCUUCUGGCAUUCCGGAGAGUAUGCCUAUUUGAGGGUCAUUUGUAAUAAUAUAAAUUCCAAGAUUUCUAGGAGUUUAAAAUGGGUUGUCCAUUUUUUGUGGACGCCUAAAAUCCAAGACAAGCUCAUUUUCUCUGGUUGCGUGAUACUUUCAGUUACUUCGCUAUUUAACAUUGAUCUAUCGUGCGUGUCAUGAAUUUUGUAAA
This 236-nucleotide unclassified non-coding RNA is filed under the name Ambisporaceae sp. RNAcentral describes it as "partial contains 5.8S ribosomal RNA and internal transcribed spacer 2". The stretch from base 1 to 71 matches the Rfam family "5.8S ribosomal RNA", at positions 84 to 154 of the family's 154-position model. The record is from RNAcentral. Lineage: Eukaryota; Fungi; Glomeromycota; Glomeromycetes; Archaeosporales; Ambisporaceae.